RNAcentral lists this ribosomal RNA (989 nucleotides) under Arthrobacter sp. SKT-3. Its description in RNAcentral is "partial 16S ribosomal RNA". It matches the Rfam family "Bacterial small subunit ribosomal RNA", at positions 85 to 1201 of the family's 1533-position model. Lineage: Bacteria; Bacillati; Actinomycetota; Actinomycetes; Micrococcales; Micrococcaceae. The record is from RNAcentral.
UCGGUGAUUAGUGGCGAACGGGUGAGUAACACGUGAGUAACCUGCCCUUAACUCUGGGAUAAGCCUGGGAAACUGGGUCUAAUACCGGAUAUGACUCCUCAUCGCAUGGUGGGGGGUGGAAAGCUUUUUUGUGGUUUUGGAUGGACUCGCGGCCUAUCAGCUUGUUGGUGAGGUAAUGGCUUACCAAGGCGACGACGGGUAGCCGGCCUGAGAGGGUGACCGGCCACACUGGGACUGAGACACGGCCCAGACUCCUACGGGAGGCAGCAGUGGGGAAUAUUGCACAAUGGGCGGAAGCCUGAUGCAGCGACGCCGCGUGAGGGAUGACGGCCUUCGGGUUGUAAACCUCUUUCAGUAGGGAAGAAGCGUAAGUGACGGUACCUGCAGAAGAAGCGCCGGCUAACUACGUGCCAGCAGCCGCGGUAAUACGUAGGGCGCAAGCGUUAUCCGGAAUUAUUGGGCGUAAAGAGCUCGUAGGCGGUUUGUCGCGUCUGCCGUGAAAGUCCGGGGCUCAACUCCGGAUCUGCGGUGGGUACGGGCAGACUAGAGUGAUGUAGGGGAGACUGGAAUUCCUGGUGUAGCGGUGAAAUGCGCAGAUAUCAGGAGGAACACCGAUGGCGAAGGCAGGUCUCUGGGCAUUAACUGACGCUGAGGAGCGAAAGCAUGGGGAGCGAACAGGAUUAGAUACCCUGGUAGUCCAUGCCGUAAACGUUGGGCACUAGGUGUGGGGGACAUUCCACGUUUUCCGCGCCGUANCUAACGCAUUAAGUGCCCCGCCUGGGGAGUACGGCCGCAAGGCUUAAAACUCAAAGGAAUUUGACGGGGGGCCCCGCACAAAGCGGCGGGANCAUGCNGNAUUAAUUUCNAUGCNAACGCGAAAAAACCUUACCAAGGGCNUUGACAUGAANUAAUUAANGGCNCNANAAAUNGCNUCCCCCCUUNUUGAGGCUNGNUUUANAGGUGGGUGNANUGGUUUNUCCUCCANCCUC